GAUGAAGAACGUAGCGAAAUGCGAUACUUGGUGUGAAUUGCAGAAUCCCGUGAACCAUCGAGUUUUUGAACGCAAGUUGCGCCCCCUGGUAUUCCGGGGGGCAUGCCUGUCCGAGCGUCAUUGCUGCCCUCAAGCACGGCUUGUGUGUUGGGCCUCCGUCCUCCUCCCGGGGGACGGGCCCGAAAGGCAGCGGCGGCACCGCGUCCGGUCCUCGAGCGUAUGGGGCUUCGUCACCCGCUCUUGUAGGCCCGGCCGGCGCUUGCCGACACAUCAAUCUUUUUUCCAGGUUGACCUCGGAUCAGGUAGGGAUACCCGCUGAACUUAAGCAUAUCAAUAAGCGGAGGA
This 345-nucleotide unclassified non-coding RNA is filed under the name soil metagenome. RNAcentral describes it as "partial contains 5.8S ribosomal RNA, internal transcribed spacer 2, and large subunit ribosomal RNA". The stretch from base 1 to 120 matches the Rfam family "5.8S ribosomal RNA", at positions 35 to 154 of the family's 154-position model. The record is from RNAcentral.